GGAGUAUUGCGCAAUGGGCGAAAGCCUGACGCAGCAACGCCGCGUGGGGGAUGAAGGCCUUCGGGUUGUAAACUCCUGUCGGGUGGGGCGAACGAGCGCCGGUUAAGCGCUGGCGCUUCUGACGGUACCACCAGAGGAAGCCCCGGCUAACUCCGUGCCAGCAGCCGCGGUAAUACGGAGGGGGCAAGCGUUAUUCGGAAUUCUUGGGCGUAAAGGGCGCGUAGGCGGCAUGAUAAGUCGAAGGUGAAAUCCCCCGGCUCAACCGGGGAACUGCCUUCGAAACUAUCUCGCUAGAGUCCGGGAGAGGGUAGCGGAAUUCCCAGUGUAGCGGUGAAAUGCGUAGAUAUUGGGAGGAACACCAGUGGCGAAGGCGGCUACCUGGACCGGUUCUGACGCUGAGGCGCGAAAGCGUGGGGAGCAAAC
RNAcentral lists this ribosomal RNA (423 nucleotides) under uncultured bacterium. RNAcentral's name for it is "bacterial SSU rRNA". It matches the Rfam family "Bacterial small subunit ribosomal RNA", at positions 358 to 773 of the family's 1533-position model. The record is from RNAcentral.